RNAcentral lists this ribosomal RNA (494 nucleotides) under uncultured bacterium. RNAcentral's name for it is "partial 16S ribosomal RNA". It matches the Rfam family "Bacterial small subunit ribosomal RNA", at positions 28 to 507 of the family's 1533-position model. The record is from RNAcentral.
GACGAACGCUGGCGGCGUGCUUAACACAUGCAAGUCGAACGGAAAGGCCUGCUUUCCCUUGUGGAUUGCGGGUACUCGAGUGGCGAACGGGUGAGUAACACGUGAGUGAUCUGCCCCCAACUUGGGUAUAAGCCUGGGAAACUGGGUCUAAUUCCCGGUAGGACUGCAGGGUGGUGCCUGUGGUGGAAAACGAUUUUCUAGUGGUUGGGGAUGAGCUCGCGGCCUAUCAGCUUGUUGGUGGGGUAAUGGCCUACCAAGGCGGCGACGGGUAGCCGGCCUGAGAGGGUGGACGGCCACAUUGGGACUGAGAUACGGCCCAGACUCCUACGGGAGGCAGCAGUGGGGAAUAUUGCACAAUGGGCGGAAGCCUGAUGCAGCGACGCCGCGUGGGGGAUGACGGCCUUCGGGUUGUAAACUCCUUUCGACCGCGAGGAAGCCACCUGGUUGGAAGGGUGGUGACGGUAGUGGUAGAAGAAGCACCGGCUAACUACGUG